GAUGAACGCUGGCGGCGUGCCUAAUACAUGCAAGUCGAGCGAACAGACGAGGAGCUUGCUCCUCUGACGUUAGCGGCGGACGGGUGAGUAACACGUGGAUAACCUACUUAUAAGACUGGGAUAACUUCGGGAAACCGGAGCUAAUACCGGAUAAUAUAUUGCACCGCAUGGUUCAAUAGUGAAAGACGGCUUUGCUGUCACUUAUAGAUGGAUCCGCGCCGCAUUAGCUAGUUGGUAAGGUAACGGCUUACCAAGGCAACGAUGCGUAGCCGACCUGAGGGGGUGAUCGGCCACCCUGGAACUGAGACGCGCUCCAGACUCCUACGGGAGGCAGCAGUAGGGAAUCUUCCGCAGUGGGCGAAAGCUUGACGGAGCAACGCCGCGUGAGUGAUGAAGGUCUUCGGAUCGUAAAACUCUGUUAUUAGGGAAGAACAAAUGUGUAAGUAACUAUGCACGUCUUGACGGUACCUAAUCAGAAAGCCACGGCUAACUACGUG
Molecule: ribosomal RNA, 497 nt
Filed under: uncultured bacterium
Lineage: Bacteria
Description: partial 16S ribosomal RNA
Rfam family: Bacterial small subunit ribosomal RNA
Source: RNAcentral